UAAGGGCGCACGGUGGAUGCCUUGGCACUAGAAGCCGAUGAAGGACGUUACUAACGACGAUAUGCUUUGGGGAGCUGUAAGUAAGCUUUGAUCCAGAGAUUUCCGAAUGGGGAAACCCAGCAUGAGUUAUGUCAUGUUAUCGAUAUGUGAAUACAUAGCAUAUCAGAAGGCACACCCGGAGAACUGAAACAUCUUAGUACCCGGAGGAAGAGAAAGAAAAUUCGAUUCCCUUAGUAGCGGCGAGCGAAACGGGAAGAGCCCAAACCAACAAGCUUGCUUGUUGGGGUUGUAGGACACUCUAUACGGAGUUACAAAGGACGACAUUAGACGAAUCAUCUGGAAAGAUGAAUCAAAGAAGGUAAUAAUCCUGUAGUCGAAAAUGUUGUCUCUCUUGAGUGGAUCCUGAGUACGACGGAGCACGUGAAAUUCCGUCGGAAUCUGGGAGGACCAUCUCCUAAGGCUAAAUACUCUCUAGUGACCGAUAGUGAACCAGUACCGUGAGGGAAAGGUGAAAAGCACCCCGGAAGGGGAGUGAAAUAGAACCUGAAACCGUGUGCUUACAAGUAGUCAGAGCCCGUUAAUGGGUGAUGGCGUGCCUUUUGUAGAAUGAACCGGCGAGUUACGAUUUGAUGCAAGGUUAAGCAGUAAAUGUGGAGCCGUAGCGAAAGCGAGUCUGAAUAGGGCGUUUAGUAUUUGGUCGUAGACCCGAAACCAGGUGAUCUACCCUUGGUCAGGUUGAAGUUCAGGUAACACUGAAUGGAGGACCGAACCGACUUACGUUGAAAAGUGAGCGGAUGAACUGAGGGUAGCGGAGAAAUUCCAAUCGAACCUGGAGAUAGCUGGUUCUCUCCGAAAUAGCUUUAGGGCUAGCCUCAAGUGAUGAUUAUUGGAGGUAGAGCACUGUUUGGACGAGGGGCCCCUCUCGGGUUACCGAAUUCAGACAAACUCCGAAUGCCAAUUAAUUU
Molecule: ribosomal RNA, 965 nt
Filed under: Staphylococcus aureus
Lineage: Bacteria; Bacillati; Bacillota; Bacilli; Caryophanales; Staphylococcaceae
Description: partial 23S ribosomal RNA
Rfam family: Bacterial large subunit ribosomal RNA
Source: RNAcentral